Pseudophryne corroboree (corroboree frog) is the source of this 589-nucleotide long non-coding RNA. RefSeq lists it as uncharacterized. The record is from RefSeq and is a predicted model, not a curated record. The transcript is spliced from 3 exons. NCBI's taxonomy places the organism in Eukaryota, Metazoa, Chordata, Amphibia, Anura, Myobatrachidae.
AAGUAAAAUAGUGGUCCUGUGCGCUAUACUCCACAAUAUCGCGGUAAGGAGUAGCGUAGAGCUUCCUCAGACAGAGGAAUUGCCUGAUGAGGAGCCAGGGGUUGUCCGACACUUCGGUGGGGGGAGUGUUACAAGGAGGGGGAGCCAAGUCAGGGCAAGCAUUGUUGCUGAAUUUUUCAGCUGAAAGACCACACAAACUGAGGACGACCACAACGGCAAGCACCACAUGAUGCACCAGCUCAGCACCCUUCCCCUUCUCACUCCCCCUCCACUUCCCAGUCCCCCUCCCCUUCUCACUCCCCCUCCCCUUCUCACUCCCCCUCCCCUUCUCACUCCCCCUCCCCUUCUCACUCCCCCUCAGCUUCCCAAUCCCCCUCAGCUUCCCAAUCACCCUCAGCUUCACAAUCCACCUCAGCUUCCCAGUCACCCUCAGCUUCCCAGGCCCCCUCAGCUUCCCAGGCCCCCUCAGCUUCCCAGGCCCACUCCGCUUUCCACUCCCCUUCUCAGCCAACCUCUCCUUCUCUUUCUGUGACCCCUUCUCCUCCUUCCCAUACCCCUUCUCCUUCUACUUCCAACUCACCUUCUCAGC